This 72-nucleotide transfer RNA is filed under the name Fukomys damarensis (Damara mole-rat). It matches the Rfam family "tRNA". Rfam says of the family: Transfer RNA (tRNA) molecules are approximately 80 nucleotides in length. Their secondary structure includes four short double-helical elements and three loops (D, anti-codon, and T loops). The record is from Rfam by way of RNAcentral. Lineage: Eukaryota; Metazoa; Chordata; Mammalia; Rodentia; Bathyergidae.
UGGGAUGUAGCUUAAUGGUAGAGCACUUGCCUGGUAUGUGCAAGGCCCUAGGUUCAAACCCCAGCACCAUAA